RNAcentral lists this ribosomal RNA (474 nucleotides) under uncultured soil bacterium. RNAcentral's name for it is "bacterial SSU rRNA". It matches the Rfam family "Bacterial small subunit ribosomal RNA", at positions 26 to 518 of the family's 1533-position model. The record is from RNAcentral.
AGGACGAACGCUGGCGGCGUGCUUAACACAUGCAAGUCGAGCGGUAAGGCCUUUCGGGGUACACGAGCGGCGAACGGGUGAGUAACACGUGGGUGAUCUGCCCUGCACUUCGGGAUAAGCCUGGGAAACUGGGUCUAAUACCGGAUAUGACCUCCUAUCGCAUGGUGGGUGGUGGAAAGAUUUAUCGGUGCAGGAUGGGCCCGCGGCCUAUCAGCUUGUUGGUGGGGUAAUGGCCUACCAAGGCGACGACGGGUAGCCGACCUGAGAGGGUGACCGGCCACACUGGGACUGAGACACGGCCCAGGCUCCUACGGGAGGCAGCAGUGGGGAAUAUGCACAAUGGGCGAAAGCCUGAUGCAGCGACGCCGCGUGAGGAUGACGGCCUUCGGGUUGUAAACCUCUUUCAGCGAGGACGAAGCGACAAGUGACGGUACUGCAGAAGAAGCACCGGACUAACUACGUGCCAGCAGCCGC